UCCUGGAUAGCUCAGUCGGUAGAGCAGCUGGCUGUUAACCAGCGGGCCGGGGGUUCAAAUCCCUCUCCAGGAGCCA
Molecule: transfer RNA, 76 nt
Filed under: Candidatus Ozemibacter sibiricus
Lineage: Bacteria; Candidatus Rifleibacteriota; Candidatus Ozemibacteria; Candidatus Ozemibacteraceae
Description: Candidatus Ozemobacter sibiricus tRNA-Asn
Rfam family: tRNA
About the family: Transfer RNA (tRNA) molecules are approximately 80 nucleotides in length. Their secondary structure includes four short double-helical elements and three loops (D, anti-codon, and T loops).
Source: RNAcentral